This 1257-nucleotide ribosomal RNA is filed under the name Triticum aestivum (bread wheat). RNAcentral's name for it is "partial small subunit ribosomal RNA". Lineage: Eukaryota; Viridiplantae; Streptophyta; Magnoliopsida; Poales; Poaceae. The record is from RNAcentral.
GCAAGCUACUCAGCCAUGGCAGCCUCGCUCCCGGAUGACAUCCUCCGUGAGAUCCUAGUUCGCCUUGAUGACGCGGCCGACCUCUUCCGUUGCGCAGCAGCAUGCAGACGCUGGCGCCACCUCGUCGCCGAUCCCACCUUCCUACGGUGCUGGUGGCCGGACCACUCAUGCGCCUCCUUCGCUGGGUUCUUUAACAAGCAACGGCAUCGUAAUCAUGGGGCCAAGGUGCUCGUCCCGACGCCAUGGUCGCCGCUUGGUCGUGGGCGCCGUGCCAUCAGCUCCUUCGUGCACGACGUCCCGGCAAGCCUCUUGUACCGCGCGGUGCCGCUCGUCUCGCGUCGUGGCCUCCUCCUUGUGCGCCUCGUCCCACCCCGUGGCGCGAUCGAUAACGAUUGGUGGGUCGUUCGCCUGGCCGUGUGCAACCUGCUCGUCGGGAGGUGCGAGAUGCUCCCUCCUCUAAUAUGUGCCUCCAUCGGCUCGGGUGACUAUGAGUGUAACGGUUGUGUCGUCCUAUCCGGUGAUGACUGUCGCUCCAGCUCCGACGACGAUGAGCAGACACCGGGCAACUCAUCCUUCUACAAAGUGCUAAUCGUCACCAUUGGUCAUGGUCACCUGAUUGGCCUCAAGUUGGAUGUCCACACGUUCUCGUUCGGCACUGAGAGUUGGAGUAGACACACGAAGUGCUUCAGUGGCACCGCAGAUUCCGACUCCCUGGGGUUUCUGUGUCAAAGUGACCCCAUCCUGGGCCAUGGCGCCGUCCACUGGCUAUUUCAUAAUUAUACAACGGGUGGUUUCUGCCUUGUUAAACUAGACGCCCAGAGCGGCGAUGUCUCCUUGACAAAGCUCCCCAUCCCGGCGAUGUAUCAUGCAGAUCAUGCGUGCCUUGGCCUGGCCACGACCGAUGGCACCCUAUCGGUACUAAGGAUGCAAGAGGCAGCGAGUCCCAAGCUAGAGAUAUGGAAACAGCAAGAGGACCACCAGAGUGCACACGGUACCUCGCAAUGGCUCUGUACUGAGACGGUGGAAUUAGUACAACCUAGGAGGACGGGGAGUCAAGAAAGAGACAUACUUUACAUACUAGGUGAGAAGUGCGGCAAAUUACUUGUCAAUGACAGGUGUCGACGCGUGUACUCGGCCGACCUAGAGACUAGGACAGUGGAGGCAGUGGCGGACUGGCGCGGCUUACACCCUAACAUCCCUUUAGAUGUCGUGCCCCUGGAGAUGGACUGGGCGGCGUUCUUCAUUUCUCGUCUUGGU